UUACAGAAGAUCCAAAUAAAUGAAGAAGUGGGAGAAAUCAAUGCCAUGAGGAGCAAUGGCAAUCCACAGCUUAGAGUGAAGUUACACGUUGGAGCAAGGCCUGUGCAAUGAAAAGGCUGAAACACUCCUCAUAGACACAAAGGAAAACCUGCAGAAAUGGAAAGACCAUGUUUUUGGCCAGGAAGACUCAACACCGUAAAGCUGUCAAUUCUCCCUAAGUACAUUUCUAAAUUUAAUGUGAUCCCAAUAAAAUACCAACAGUUUUUUUUUUAACCCAGACAAGCUGAAUUCUAAAGUUCAUGUGAAAAAAAAUGAAGAAAUAAAAACAUUAAGAAAAACUCCGAAAAGAAGAGUAAUAUCAGUGGAUUCAUUCAAGCAGAUACUAAAACAUAUUAAAAGUCUCAGUAAUUGAAACCAUGAGGAACUGAUGCAUGAAGAGCGAGACAGGCCAAUCAACCAUAAUAGAAAGCCCAGAAAUAGAAGCAAAUAUGCACGUGGGAUAUUAGUGUACCAAAAGAGUGUCUCUAAAAUCAGUGAGAGAAAUGAUUAACUGUCCAAUAAAUGUGGCUGGGGUCACUGGUUGGCCAUGUGGAAAAAUGAUAAAGUUAGCGUCAAACUUAUGAUUGUCUACCAGGACAAAUUCCAAAUGGAUCGAGGACUGAGGAGCAAAAACUAUGUCACCAACAUCCCAGAAGAAAACAUGAGAAAAGCCGUUUAUAAACUCAGAGUAAGAAAGCUCUUUCAAACCGCGACUCAAGAAGAGAGGGCAUCAGAGGGGAAAAACAGAGAAAUUAAGCUACAUUAAGGAACACUUUAUAUCAACACAGAGAGUGAAAAGUAACUAAUUGGCUUGAUAAACUCAUAUUUCGUCAAAGGACUGAUUUCCCUGAUUUAUGAAGUGGUUUUAGAAUCAGCGAGAUAAAGGAGCAAGGGCCCAGAAGAAAAUCCAUAAGGCAGAGGCAAGCAUUCAGUGAAGGGUCUGCUUGCUUGUGAUCACAGAAUUAAUGCAGAUUAAAACUAUGCAGAGAUCCAAGUUUCAUGCGAGAUUGAGAAGAAACACCCAAGAGCCUGAGGACAUAUCCUUUCUGCGAGGAUAUGUGAUGGUUAAUAUUGCCUGUCAACCUGGUAGGCUCUGGAGUUACCUAGGGAACAAACCUCUGGACACACAGGAAAGUCAAAUGUGAGUUCUCAGCUACUGCUCCAGUACUAUGCCUGCCUGCCUGAUGCUGUGCUCCCUGCAUGAAGUUCAUGGACUCACCUUCUCACCUGUAAGCAAAACCCUAAUUCUAUGCCUUCGUUAUAAGUUGCCUUAUCAUGGUGUCUUCUUACAGCAAUAAAACAGUAACUAAGA
Molecule: long non-coding RNA, 1351 nt
Organism: Peromyscus leucopus (white-footed mouse)
Lineage: Eukaryota; Metazoa; Chordata; Mammalia; Rodentia; Cricetidae
Exons: 3
Source: RefSeq, a predicted model, not a curated record